This 645-nucleotide long non-coding RNA is filed under the name Aotus nancymaae (Ma's night monkey). Its description in RNAcentral is "lncRNA (ENSANAG00000039243.1)". Lineage: Eukaryota; Metazoa; Chordata; Mammalia; Primates; Aotidae. The record is from RNAcentral.
CAUAUCCACCCGCCAUCUACAGAAUCACAAACACACAUGCACGUACAUACCCAUACCACCCGCUAUCUACAGAAUCACAAACACACAUGCACGUACAUACCCAUACCACCCGCUAUCUACAGAAUUCAAGUAUGUCAAUACAAAUGCAAAUGCACUUAGUGACCCAGUUAAAGAUUCAUACAUUAUUAAAAUCAAAUUCCAUACUAUUUAUAAGUCAUAUUUAAAAUAUAAAAAUAUAGAAUGAUUUUCAAAUGUAUUAAAAUACGUAAGAGACAAGCCAGGCUUGGUGGCACAUGCCUGUAAUCCCAGCAACUCAGGAAGCAGAUGUGGGAGGAUCACUUGAAAUCAAGAGCUCAAGACCAGCCUGGGCAACAUAGCCAAACUCUAUAAAGAAAUAAAAACAAUUAUCUGGCUGUGGUGGCACACACUGCUUGAAAGAUUGAGGUAGGAGGGUCUUUUGAGCCCAGGAGUUCAAGGCAGCAGCAUAGUGGAAAAAAAUACACACACACACAUACACACACACACACACACACACACGUGAAAGAUACACAGUGCAAAGUCUCACCAAAGUUACUAUAGCUGUAUCAUAAUGUUGAAAGCAUACAUCAACGAAGGAAAACAUUUCAUUUUGAUAAAAGUUCAAAU